This 492-nucleotide ribosomal RNA is filed under the name uncultured bacterium. RNAcentral's name for it is "partial 16S ribosomal RNA". It matches the Rfam family "Bacterial small subunit ribosomal RNA", at positions 29 to 507 of the family's 1533-position model. The record is from RNAcentral.
AGUGAACGCUGGCGGUAGGCCUAACACAUGCAAGUCGAACGGCAGCACAGUAAGAGCUUGCUCUUACGGGUGGCGAGUGGCGGACGGGUGAGGAAUACAUCGGAAUCUACUUUUUCGUGGGGGAUAACGUAGGGAAACUUACGCUAAUACCGCAUACGACCUACGGGUGAAAGCAGUGGAUCUUCGGACCUUGCGCGAUUGAAUGAGCCGAUGUCGGAUUAGCUAGUUGGCGGGGUAAAGGCCCACCAAGGCGACGAUCCGUAGCUGGUCUGAGAGGAUGAUCAGCCACACUGGAACUGAGACACGGUCCAGACUCCUACGGGAGGCAGCAGUGGGGAAUAUUGGACAAUGGGCGCAAGCCUGAUCCAGCCAUACCGCGUGGGUGAAGAAGGCCUUCGGGUUGUAGAGCCCUUUUGUUGGGAAAGAAAAGCAGCAGGUUAAUACCCCGCUGUUCUGACGGUACCCAAAGAAUAAGCACCGGCUAACUUCGUG